AUGAACGCUGGCGGCGUGCCUAAUACAUGCAAGUCGAGCGAACAGACGAGGAGCUUGCUCCUCUGACGUUAGCGGCGGACGGGUGAGUAACACGUGGAUAACCUACCUAUAAGACUGGGAUAACUUCGGGAAACCGGAGCUAAUACCGGAUAAUAUAUUGAACCGCAUGGUUCAAUAGUGAAAGACGGUUUUGCUGUCACUUAUAGAUGGAUCCGCGCCGCAUUAGCUAGUUGGUAAGGUAACGGCUUACCAAGGCAACGAUGCGUAGCCGACCUGAGAGGGUGAUCGGCCACACUGGAACUGAGACACGGUCCAGAGUCCUACGGGAGGCAGCAGUAGGGAAUCUUCCGCAAUGGGCGAAAGCCUGACGGAGCAACGCCGCGUGAGUGAUGAAGGUCUUCGGAUCGUAAAACUCUGUUAUUAGGGAAGAACAAAUGUGUAAGUAACUAUGCACGUCUUGACGGUACCUAAUCAGAAAGCCACGGCUAACUACGUG
Molecule: ribosomal RNA, 496 nt
Filed under: uncultured bacterium
Lineage: Bacteria
Description: partial 16S ribosomal RNA
Rfam family: Bacterial small subunit ribosomal RNA
Source: RNAcentral